Vicia villosa (hairy vetch) is the source of this 1973-nucleotide long non-coding RNA. RefSeq lists it as uncharacterized. The record is from RefSeq and is a predicted model, not a curated record. The transcript has 6 exons. Lineage: Eukaryota; Viridiplantae; Streptophyta; Magnoliopsida; Fabales; Fabaceae.
UCAACUCUCACCUGCUCACCCUCACCGAACUCUCACCUGCUCACCCUCCAUUCUUUUCUCCAAAAAUAGGAUUUUAAUUUAAAUCGUGGCAUCUCUUAAAAUUUCUCUGUGAAACCCUAGAUAUCACAAAGGACCUUUAUGCCGCCACAACCGAACACCAUGGAAGUCGAUAAACACGUUCUCAAAAACUUUCACAUCACAGCCCUAAAACGCAUUUUCCUUCAAUCUUCUUUUGAUCGGUGGGAUUUUCUAUAAAGGGAAAAGAAGCAUGAGGUUGACCCAUGAACGACUUUGAAGGAUCUCAUUCUCACAAGGCCUCCAUGUCGGCGUCCACCACAAAUUAAUCAUUGUCAUCGUCAUUUGCAUUUCUCAAUGGACUCCUCCUGCAUGACAAAUAACCAGAAGUCUAGAACAUGACAGAAUCUGACUCUACACAUGCUGCUAGAAGGAACAUGCAUGUAGAACCUGAAAGAACACUAAUUGAUGCACAGACGGAUGAGUUUGAGAACAUUCUACAUUCUUUAACAUUAGAGAGAAGUCAGAUAAAGGUGAUUACGUGGUUUUCUUUGGAUAACACCGAUGCAGCUAGCGAGUGUGAAGUUGGCGUGGGAGACUAAGGAUUGUUUCAUUUCAAGUUUUAUGUUUUAUAGAAACAUGGAGUGAUGGUAAGCCAAACUUUUAAUACAACCAUCGUUAGAGAAAGAAUUGCAUAACUUCUUGAUGUUGCUAAAUAUUACUUAGAUCAGGUAUGUUGCUGCCAUUUCAUAUUUUUUUUUCUUCUCUACAAGUAUUUGAUAUGGUUUUGUCUUGUAUAUUUUACUUGUGGAUAUGAGCUAUUAAUAUUAUUGAUAUUACAACUAAAAAGUGGCCAUUUAUUAUUAAUUCUCAAUGAACAAACUUCUUUUGAACAGACUUUGAUUUUGUACUGGCUUGUUCUAUCAUGAUCGCAGCCCAUUUAAUUAAUUUGGAAAGUUAAGUAAAAUUUACAAUAUAUGAUGGCAACCCAUUUAAUUAAUUUGGAAAGUUUUAGUUUUAUUACAUAAUACCAUGUGUAUAUGAAUUUAGAGAUCAAGUGUCUCUCAUGAGUCAUGAAGCUUUAGCAUAGUGUCAAAAUAUUUAGCAUGUGCCAUGUCCAUGCAAAUUAUAAAAAGUUUCAUGAAAUUUUAGCAUAGUGUCAGAAUAUUUGCUUGAAUAUUUAGCACGUCAAGUGACUCUCUCAUAAAACUUAGUGAUCAAGUGACUCUCUCAUGAAGCUUUAAUAUAGUUUUAUUACAUGAUAUUAUUUGUAUAUGAAUUUAGUAAUCAAGUGACUCUCUAAUAUUAUUCUAUAAUUUGACACAGUGAGGCAGAAUUUGGUAUGUCUUGGUGUGCUGGUUUGGAGGCUCAUUCUAUAAUUCUUAUUUUUGGCUUUCUUGUUUCAAGUUGAGGUAAUUCCUAAACAGCCAAGUGACUGAUUUGGUUCCACCAAGGUUUUUCGUGUGUAUUUCAGUUUUGGUGGCUCUUAGCACUGGGUGUCUCAAUACAAUAAGCAUGUAAACUGAUUCGGUUCUAACAAGGUUUUUCGUGUGUAUUUCAAUUUUGGUGGCUCUUGGUACUGUGUGUGUAGAGAGCAUGGUGCAUGUACACAUUGGCGUCGUAGGAUUCCUACAAUUAAAGAAAAUGUUUGCAGGUGUUAUGCUGUGUUUUUUCUUUAAAUUUUCUAGUAGCUUGUAAAGAAUAACUUAUGGUUCUCGACCAUGAUUGAUUCUUGUAAAUAAUAGAAAUAAAUGUAAUUAAAAUUUUAAUUGACACAAAUUGAUUUUACUAUGUAUUUUUUUGUUAUUUGGGCUAUUAUAUUUGUAUUUUAGAAUAAUAGAUUAUUAUUUUUGCAACGAUAUUCAGAUUAUUAAAAAACUGCAAGAGAAUUUAAUAGCGCUUUUCUGGAAAGUGCUAUUAAAGUUAAGAUGUAAAAUAUAGGCAAUGAUAGCGCUUUU